This 253-nucleotide ribosomal RNA is filed under the name uncultured bacterium. RNAcentral's name for it is "partial 16S ribosomal RNA". It matches the Rfam family "Bacterial small subunit ribosomal RNA", at positions 524 to 776 of the family's 1533-position model. The record is from RNAcentral.
UACGGAGGAUGCAAGCGUUAUCCGGAAUGAUUGGGCGUAAAGCGUCCGCAGGUGGCUGUGUAAGUCUGCUGUCAAAGAGCAAAGCUCAACUUUGUAAAGGCAGUGGAAACUACACGGCUAGAGUGCGUUCGGGGCAGAGGGAAUUCCUGGUGUAGCGGUGAACUGCGUAGAGAUCAGGAAGAACACCGGUGGCGAAGGCGCUCUGCUAGGCCGCAACUGACACUGAGGGACGAAAGCUAGGGGAGCGAAUGGG